RNAcentral lists this ribosomal RNA (492 nucleotides) under uncultured bacterium. RNAcentral's name for it is "bacterial SSU rRNA". It matches the Rfam family "Bacterial small subunit ribosomal RNA", at positions 31 to 507 of the family's 1533-position model. The record is from RNAcentral.
GAUAGAACGCUAGCGGGAGGCUUAACACAUGCAAGUCGAGGGGCAGCAUAGGGUAGCAAUACUCUGAUGGCGACCGGCAAACGGGCGAGUAACGCGUAUGCAACCUACCCUGUACAGGGGGAUAACCCGGAGAAAUUCGGACUAAUAUCCCGUAAUAAUAUCCGGAGGCAUCUUUGGAUAUUUAAAGUUCCGACGGUACGGGAUGGGCAUGCGUAAACAUUAACUGGGUUGGUAAAGGUAACCGGCUUACCAAGGCUAUGAUGUUUAGGGGUCCUGAGAGGGUGGUCCCCCACACUGGUACUGAGACACGGACCAGACUCCUACGGGAGGCAGCAGUGAGGAAUAUUGGUCAAUGGGCGCAAGCCUGAACCAGCCAUCCCGCGUGCAGGAAGACGGCCCUAUGGGUUGUAAACUGCUUUUCCAGGGAGAGAAACUUACGCACGUGUUGCGUGACUGACGGUACCCUGGGAAUAAGCAUCGGCUAACUCCGUG